This 1369-nucleotide ribosomal RNA is filed under the name uncultured bacterium. RNAcentral describes it as "bacterial SSU rRNA". It matches the Rfam family "Bacterial small subunit ribosomal RNA", at positions 28 to 1381 of the family's 1533-position model. The record is from RNAcentral.
GACGAACGCUGGCGGCGUGCCUAAUACAUGCAAGUAGAACGCUGAAGAGAGGAGCUUGCUCUUCUUGGAUGAGUUGCGAACGGGUGAGUAACGCGUAGGUAACCUGCCUUGUAGCGGGGGAUAACUAUUGGAAACGAUAGCUAAUACCGCAUAACAAUGGAUGACACAUGUCAUUUAUUUGAAAGGGGCAAUUGCUCCACUACAAGAUGGACCUGCGUUGUAUUAGCUAGUAGGUGAGGUAACGGCUCACCUAGGCGACGAUACAUAGCCGACCUGAGAGGGUGAUCGGCCACACUGGGACUGAGACACGACCCAGACUCCUACGGGAGGCAGCAGUAGGGAAUCUUCGGCAAUGGGGGCAACCCUGACCGAGCAACGCCGCGUGAGUGAAGAAGGUUUUCGGAUCGUAAAGCUCUGUUGUAAGUCAAGAACGAGUGUGAGAGUGGAAAGUUCACACUGUGACGGUAGCUUACCAGAAAGGGACGGCUAACUACGUGCCAGCAGCCGCGGUAAUACGUAGGUCCCGAGCGUUGUCCAGAUUUAUUGGGCGUAAAGCGAGCGCAGGCGGUUUGAUAAGUCUGAAGUUAAAGGCUGUGGCUCAACCAUAGUUCGCUUUGGAAACUGUCAAACUUGAGUGCAGAAGGGGAGAGUGGAAUUCCAUGUGUAGCGGUGAAAUGCGUAGAUAUAUGGAGGAACACCGGUGGCGAAAGCGGCUCUCUGGUCUGUAACUGACGCUGAGGCUCGAAAGCGUGGGGAGCGAACAGGAUUAGAUACCCUGGUAGUCCACGCCGUAAACGAUGAGUGCUAGGUGUUGGAUCCUUUCCGGGAUUCAGUGCCGCAGCUAACGCAUUAAGCACUCCGCCUGGGGAGUACGACCGCAAGGUUGAAACUCAAAGGAAUUGACGGGGGCCCGCACAAGCGGUGGAGCAUGUGGUUUAAUUCGAAGCAACGCAAAGAACCUUACCAGGUCUUGACAUCCCGAUGCUAUUUCUAGAGAUAGAAAGUUACUUCGGUACAUCGGUGACAGGUGGUGCAUGGUUGUCGUCAGCUCGUGUCGUGAGAUGUUGGGUUAAGUCCCGCAACGAGCGCAACCCCUAUUGUUAGUUGCCAUCAUUCAGUUGGGCACUCUAGCGAGGCUGCCGGUAAUAAACCGGAGGAAGGUGGGGAUGACGUCAAAUCAUCAUGCCCCUUAUGACCUGGGCUACACACGUGCUACAAUGGUUGGUACAACGAGUUGCGAGUCGGUGACGGCAAGCUAAUCUCUUAAAGCCAAUCUCAGUUCGGAUUGUAGGCUGCAACUCGCCUACAUGAAGUCGGAAUCGCUAGUAAUCGCGGAUCAGCACGCCGCGGUGAAUACGUUCCCGGGCCU